Long non-coding RNA from Salarias fasciatus (jewelled blenny), 940 nucleotides. RefSeq lists it as uncharacterized. The transcript is spliced from 4 exons. The record is from RefSeq and is a predicted model, not a curated record. NCBI's taxonomy places the organism in Eukaryota, Metazoa, Chordata, Actinopteri, Blenniiformes, Blenniidae.
UCAUGACGGCUGCAGCUGGCUAUCACUCUCCGCCAUGGCUACACAGGAGAUAUGGAUCGUUUUGUGUGAAUCCAACGGUGUCUUCGUCCAGUUUAAUCUGUUUCAGAGUAAAUCUGCUCAGCUGAAGGAAAAGUUCAUGUUUAUAGCUGUUUAAGUGAACUUGAAUGUUUAAAUGGGAGGUGAAUGUUAACAUUGACCAUAAAGUUCAGUCUCAGUGGUUUAAAUGUGUUCUACUGGUUAUACUGGCAAAUGUUGUGCAUUCAAACUAAAACUAUGAACUAUUUCAAUCAAGGGAUUACUGAGGAAACAGAACCUGAUCCAGAGGUGAUCUGCAUCCAGAUGUGGAUGGAGAGAGUCUUCAGGGUUGGAUGUGACGCCAAACAAGCCAGGAAUAAAAUAGGCAUAAUUUGAAGGCUUAAUCCAAGGUUGUCAGUCUGGUGUCAUAAAGGCUCCUGGUGCUGCAGGGAUGAGUCUCCACCUCCACCCAGCAGAAACCCAGCUGGUGGAGACAGGACCAGCUGGUUCAUGGGGGAUCUGAGCAGGACCAGGCCUCAUCGCAUCCCAGGAGGAAGAAUUUUGAUCUGGCUCCAUCAACAACUCCAGAAGGAUGGAGAAAUGCCCGAUGGCCAGGAGAGCAAAGCUCCAGGUUCCUCCACCUGCUCCUGUCUGGAAGUGGAUCACUCUGUGAUGAUGUUCAUCAGCUCAUCCACAACACUGAGGAAGGUCCAGAACUCUGCCGGAACCAGACCGAAGCUCCUCACUCCAACCAGGGGCUUUUUCCUGGAGCAGAAUCUGUAACAAUAUAACAGUGUUCUCCCUGGACAACACUGAAGAUUGGAGUCACAUGACCUCCAGGAUCGACAUCUUAUCAUUGACCUGUUCAUAUAGUUGUUGUUGUUCCUGGUAAAUAAAAGAAAGAACUGUAGAAUUUUUUUUAAAA